Molecule: transfer RNA, 84 nt
Filed under: Cytophagales bacterium
Lineage: Bacteria; Pseudomonadati; Bacteroidota; Cytophagia; Cytophagales
Description: tRNA-Leu
Rfam family: tRNA
About the family: Transfer RNA (tRNA) molecules are approximately 80 nucleotides in length. Their secondary structure includes four short double-helical elements and three loops (D, anti-codon, and T loops). Further hydrogen bonds mediate the characteristic L-shaped molecular structure. tRNAs have two regions of fundamental functional importance: the anti-codon, which is responsible for specific mRNA codon recognition, and the 3' end, to which the tRNAs corresponding amino acid is attached (by aminoacyl-tRNA synthetases). tRNAs cope with the degeneracy of the genetic code in two manners: having more than one tRNA (with a specific anti-codon) for a particular amino acid; and 'wobble' base-pairing, i.e. permitting non-standard base-pairing at the 3rd anti-codon position.
Source: RNAcentral
GCCCAGAUGGCGGAACUGGUAGACGCGUUGGUCUCAAACACCAAUGAUAGUAAUAUUGUGUCGGUUCGAUCCCGACUUUGGGCA